GCAAGUCGAACGGUAACAGUUCGAGCUUGCUAGAAGAUGACGAGUGGCGGACGGGUGAGUAAUGCUUGGGAACUUGCCUUUGCGAGGGGGAUAACAGUUGGAAACGACUGCUAAUACCGCAUAAUGUCUUCGGACCAAACGGGGCUUCGGCUCCGGCGCAAAGAGAGGCCCAAGUGAGAUUAGCUAGUUGGUAAGGUAACGGCUUACCAAGGCGACGAUCUCUAGCUGUUCUGAGAGGAAGAUCAGCCACACUGGGACUGAGACACGGCCCAGACUCCUACGGGAGGCAGCAGUGGGGAAUAUUGCACAAUGGGGGAAACCCUGAUGCAGCCAUGCCGCGUGUGUGAAGAAGGCCUUCGGGUUGUAAAGCACUUUCAGUUGUGAGGAAAAGUUAGUAGUUAAUACCUGCUAGCCGUGACGUUAACAACAGAAGAAGCACCGGCUAACUCCGUGCCAGCAGCCGCGGUAAUACGGAGGGUGCGAGCGUUAAUCGGAAUUACUGGGCGUAAAGCGCACGCAGGCGGUUUGUUAAGCUAGAUGUGAAAGCCCCGGGCUCAACCUGGGAUGGUCAUUUAGAACUGGCAGACUAGAGUCUUGGAGAGGGGAGUGGAAUUCCAGGUGUAGCGGUGAAAUGCGUAGAUAUCUGGAGGAACAUCAGUGGCGAAGGCGACUCCCUGGCCAAAGACUGACGCUCAUGUGCGAAAGUGUGGGUAGCGAACAGGAUUAGAUACCCUGGUAG
This 739-nucleotide ribosomal RNA is filed under the name uncultured bacterium. RNAcentral's name for it is "bacterial SSU rRNA". It matches the Rfam family "Bacterial small subunit ribosomal RNA", at positions 57 to 793 of the family's 1533-position model. The record is from RNAcentral.